CACACAGGCACGAUGGCCUGAGAGUGCCGUGUGCGCGUGCGUGAGUGGGGACCGGCGGAAGGAGCGGGAGGAGUUCCAGGAUACCGCCAGGGGGCGCCGCGGUCUUUCUUGCCGAGUUCCCGGGGCGGGGAAGGCGGGGUGGCUGGCUGUCGAGGGGAGGUCUUUAGAUAGCUUGUUGACAGAGGGAAGGCUGUUGACCGCUUUGGACUGGAACAUAAGGGGAGCAGCCCCCAGCCCCCUGGCCCAUGUUCUAUGGACCCCAAGCAGCACCUAGGAACUCUAGUAUCAUUGGCAAGGGACGUCUCUGUGCCUCAGUUUCCCCCUCAAGAUCACAGACUCUGCAGGCCCUCACCCGAGGCCAUUCGGUCCCUCCUCCUGUCCCCGAGCCAAGCAGCCCCUUCCCUGGUGCUGUCACUUGAGAUGCUCCUCUUUGUCUUUCGAAGGAAGACCCUCAAGUCUAACUUCCAUCCAUCCUGCUGCUAGACCUGUUCUGGAACUUAGCCUCCUCCGUGGGGUGGGGAUGGGGGCCCAGAGGGACCCAGGGGCCUGUGCCCAAGCCUGAGUCCUCUCGGGUUUCCUGGGCUGGGGUAGGCUUGGUCCCCAUUCCCUCCCCUUUCCAUGGGCAGCUCCGGAGGGCACAUUCCAGCUGAAAUUAAAUCACAUUCCUCCUUCUCUGCCUGACAAGGAUGGCAUUGCUGACAGCAGCUGCGACACCACAGGGUCAAGUGGCAGCAGCUGGUCCCCCAGGGAGGGGCUGAGAAGCGGGGAGCUGCGGGGAGCUGAGGGACCAGGGCCUUUGGAAGCAAUGAAUGAACUCUGAGUCUUUGAUUUCAAGAGGCCUCCCACCCUGCAGUGGGAGGGGUAAAGGUUAGACCACAGGGUGCCAGAGCUGCCUGGAGCCUCGGGGAAUGAUCUGGUCCACCCAGGACUGUACAGACAGAAAACCAAGGCCCCCAGCAUCACCUUCUGAGAGGACCCCAGAAGGACACCCUCUCCCUCACCCUGGACUGGCUCCCACAUCAGACAGGAGGCUGAGGGGGCCCUUUAAGAGGCCACUCUGAGCUCUCUUGGCCGGAGCCCAAAGCUGAGGACUUUGAUUUCCUCGGCGACUCUGGCAGCCGGCGGUGGCAGCAGGGACAGCAUCAGGCUGGCUGAAUGGAGAGCGCAGCCCCUGACCUCACCCUCCGAGGCGCCUCAGCCUGCGCGGCCUUAUAAGGAAGUGCCCCAAACAAACCGAGGAAGCCACCUCCGGCCCCCCACCCUGCUCAGAGGCUAUAUUUACCCAGAGGAGGCCCCAGAAUAACCUCCCACUUGUCCUCGUGCUGGGGGGCGAGGGGGGGGACCAGGGGGGGAGGCAGGCGGCUGGUUCUGCCUCCUCAUUCCCUCCUCUGGGGACUCCACCCUCCAAAGUGCUUCCUGUUGUCCGAGCUCAUCAUAGUUGUUCCUUCACUCAUUUGUUCAUUUAUCCAUUUGUUCAUUUAUCCACUACGUGUUCACUGAGCACCCUCAGGCCCCCAGGCGCUGUGCUGGACAAAGGCUUUGCCUUCCUGGAGCUUCUACAACGACAGGGUCUUCCCAGGCGCCACAGUGCUCUGGGCCUCCUACCCUCUGGCCACUCCUUGUGGCUCCUCUCUGCAGGAGUCCCCUGGGAGCUGCGUCCUGGGGUCACUCUGGGUGACCUCUAGACCCACGACCCUCCAAUUCUUGUCCUAACCUGGUCCUCUUUCCUGAGCUCCACGUAGCCACCCUCCCCCAGGGCAGCUCCUCUUGGAGGUCACCAUUUCCUACCGGAUUCUCCAGCUCAGAGGAUGGGACCACCUUCUCCCAGCUGCCCAGGCUAAACACCUGGGAGCCUCUGCUGCCGCAUCCCCCUCCGUCUCCCACGAUGGCUCACCGAGUCCCGAGACUCUGCUUCCCUUGCAUCUCUCCUCUCAUCCCCUCUGCCGCCAUCAGCCCCUGCGCGGACCGCUGCGGUACCCCCCUGAAGCUCUCCGGCCCAUCCAGUCCAUUCGCACACAGCAGCCUGGAGGUUUUAUUUAAAGGGCAAACCUGGUUAUGUCACCUCACUACUUAAAACCCUUCAGAGUCUCCUCAUAUCCCUUAGGAAGGAGUUCGUAUUUCCUGGCUGCCUGGCGAGGCCUCUGCCCACUGACCCCUGACCUCCUCUUUAGUCUCACUAUGAACCUUCUCCACCCUCAUUCUCCACCUUUGGGCUACACAAAGCUUUUUUCUGCUCCUCAAGUGCCCAAGCUCUCUCUUCUUGCCCCAGGAUUUUGCACAUGCUGUUCCCUCUGACUAGAAUCCUUUUCCUCGCCCUCUGCCCUCCUCAUCCCCACACUGGGGGGCUCUUGCUCCUCUUUCAGGUUCUCAGGGCAGCCUUCCCUGACUCCCUCCUCUCCUACUCCUCCAGCCCAGAUCAGGUGAGUUCCCCUGCCCUAUGCUCCCAUGACCUCCCACGCUUCUCUGUUUUCAGGUAUGGCUUCCACUCUGAAGCUCUUGUUCAGUUACAAGGUAAAGCUCCCUGAGCAGGGAAUCCUGGACCUCCAGCGCCGGCGUAGCACAUGGCACACAAUAGCCGCUCAAUAAAUAUUUGUUGAAAAAUGAC
This 2605-nucleotide long non-coding RNA is filed under the name Equus caballus (horse). RNAcentral describes it as "lncRNA (ENSECAG00000049692.1)". Lineage: Eukaryota; Metazoa; Chordata; Mammalia; Perissodactyla; Equidae. The record is from RNAcentral.